GCUUCUUAAAGUAGCAUCUGGAGAAGGCUGCCAAGUUUAUGUCCCUCCAAAAUUCAUGUUUUGAAAUGCUUACCCACAAUGUGAUGGGAUUAAGAGGUGAUUAGGUUAUAAAGGUGGAGCCCUCAAGAAUGGGAUUAGUGCCCUUAAAAAAGGGAGACCCAAAGAGUGCUCAUCCUUUCCCUACUAUAAGGAUACAAUAAGAAGUAACCUGGAAGAUGGCCCUCACCGGAGCCCGACUGUGGUGUCAUCCUGAUAUCACAAUUCCAGCCUCCGGUCCUGUGAGAAAUGAAUGUCUGUGGUUCAUAAGCCACCAGUCUGUGGUUCCUUGUUUUAGGAGCCUGAGUGAGGAAGACUGUGUCCUUUGUGCUGUGGGUUGUGGAGCUGGAUUGUUUCAGUGAAAGAAACUAUCUAAGGCACAGCUGACUCUGCCAUCCAACAUGGCAGUAAAUUCUGGCCAUUCAUUAGGACAGCGUGAGUUGGCACAGGAGGUUAUAUAAUAAAACAAGCCCGAGAGCAGCGUCUCCUUGAAUACAAAGGAAAACGAUACACAGUGAACAAAUGAAAUGUAGACAUGCUUAGCAUAGGAUAAUUGGACCAAUGCUACAUCAAAGGAUGAUGUUCUCUUCCACAAAGAGGAGAGGUGAGUAGUGAAUCUCAGGUCAGCAGCCCGCUG
This 673-nucleotide long non-coding RNA is filed under the name Fukomys damarensis (Damara mole-rat). RNAcentral's name for it is "lncRNA (ENSFDAG00000025965.1)". The record is from RNAcentral. Lineage: Eukaryota; Metazoa; Chordata; Mammalia; Rodentia; Bathyergidae.